GAUGAACGCUGGCGGCGUGCCUAAUACAUGCAAGUCGAGCGAACAGACGAGGUGCUUGCUCCUCUGACGUUAGCGGCGGACGGGUGAGUAACACGUGGAUAACCUACCUAUAAGACUGGGAUAACUUCGGGAAACCGGAGCUAAUACCGGAUAAUAUAUUGAACCGCAUGGUUCAAUAGUGAAAGACGGUUUUGCUGUCACCUAUAGAUGGAUCCGCGCCGCAUUAGCUAGUUGGUAAGGUAACGCCUUACCAGGGCAACGAUGCGUAGCCGACCUGAGAGGGUGAUCGGCCACACUGGAACUGAGACACGGUCCAGACUCCUACGGGAGGCAGCAGUGGGGAAUCUUCCGCAAUGGGCGAAAGCCUGACGGAGCAACGCCGCGUGAGUGAUGAAGGUCUUCGGAUCGUAAAACUCUGUUAUUAGGGAAGAACAAAUGUGUAAGUAACUAUGCACGUAUUGACGGUACCUAAUCAGAAAGCCACGGCUAACUACGUG
This 497-nucleotide ribosomal RNA is filed under the name uncultured bacterium. RNAcentral describes it as "partial 16S ribosomal RNA". It matches the Rfam family "Bacterial small subunit ribosomal RNA", at positions 28 to 507 of the family's 1533-position model. The record is from RNAcentral.